Molecule: ribosomal RNA, 253 nt
Filed under: uncultured prokaryote
Description: partial 16S ribosomal RNA
Rfam family: Bacterial small subunit ribosomal RNA
Source: RNAcentral
UACGUAGGACGCGAGCGUUAUCCGGAUUUACUGGGCGUAAAGCGUCUGUAGGCGGAGGCGUAAGUUGGGUGUGAAAGCUCCGGGCUUAACCCGGAGAGGCCAUUCAAUACUGCGCGACUAGAGGGCGUGAGAGGGGAGCGGAAUUUCCGGUGUAGCGGUAAAAUGCGCAGAUAUCGGGAGGAACACCAGUGGCGCAGGCGGCUCCCUGGUACGCACCUGACGCUGAGAGACGAAAGCUAGGGGAGCGAACAGG